This 26-nucleotide non-coding RNA is filed under the name Bombyx mori (domestic silkworm). Lineage: Eukaryota; Metazoa; Arthropoda; Insecta; Lepidoptera; Bombycidae. RNAcentral also lists the same sequence under 11 other names. The record is from RNAcentral.
UGGACUCUGAAUCCAGCGAUCCGAGU